RNAcentral lists this unclassified non-coding RNA (391 nucleotides) under soil metagenome. RNAcentral describes it as "partial contains 5.8S ribosomal RNA, internal transcribed spacer 2, and large subunit ribosomal RNA". The stretch from base 1 to 122 matches the Rfam family "5.8S ribosomal RNA", at positions 35 to 154 of the family's 154-position model. The record is from RNAcentral.
GAUGAAGAACGUAGUGAAAUGCGAUACUUGGUGUGAAUUGCAGAAUCCCGUGAACCAUCGAGUCUUUGAACGCAAGUUGCGCCCGAAGCCACUAGGCCGAGGGCACGCCUGCCUGGGCGUCACACGCCGUUGCCCCCCCAUCUACUCCUUCGGGAUUGCGGGGGGGCGGAUGAUGGCCUCCCGUGCGCCUAGCCGCGCGGUUGGCAUAAAUACCAAGUCCUCGGCGACGCACGCCACGACAAUCGGUGGUUGCGAAACCUCGGUUGCCCGUCGUGUGCGUUCGUCGCGCAUCGAGGGCUCGAAAAAAUGCUCGGCUCCGGCUGGGCUUUCAACGCGACCCCAGGUCAGGCGGGGUUACCCGCUGAAUUUAAGCAUAUCGAUAAGCGGAGGA